CAGCAGCCGCGGGAAUACGAAGGGGGCUAGCGUUGCUCGGAAUGACUGGGCGUAAAGGGCGCGUAGGCGGUUCACGCAGUCAGAUGUGAAAUUCCUGGGCUUAACCUGGGGGCUGCAUUUGAGACGCGUGGGCUUGAGUGUGAAAGAGGGUCGUGGAAUUCCCAGUGUAGAGGUGAAAUUCGUAGAUAUUGGGAAGAACACCGGUGGCGAAGGCGGCGACCUGGUUCACAACUGACGCUGAGGCGCGAAAGCGUGGGGAGCAAACAGGAUUAGAUACCCCAGUAGUCCUGUCUCUUAUACA
This 301-nucleotide ribosomal RNA is filed under the name uncultured bacterium. Its description in RNAcentral is "partial 16S ribosomal RNA". It matches the Rfam family "Bacterial small subunit ribosomal RNA", at positions 509 to 809 of the family's 1533-position model. The record is from RNAcentral.